UGAGUACGAGCGGCUACGGCCGCGAAGUGGAUGAUGUCAAGCUUCCAAGAAAAGCCCUAUACCCGUUAAGGCAUGAUGGCCUGUACCCGAAACCGACACAGGUGGGGUGGUAGAGAAUACCGAGGGGCGCGAGGUAACUCUCUCUAAGGAACUCGGCAAAAUGGCCCCGUAACUUCGGGAGAAGGGGUGCCACCGCGAGGUGGUCGCAGUGAAGAGGCCCAGGCGACUGUUUACCAAAAACACAGGUCUCCGCUAAGUCGCAAGACGAUGUAUGGGGGCUGACGCCUGCCCAGUGCCGGAAGGUUAAGGAAGCUGGUCAGCGCAAGCGAAGCUGGCGACUGAAGCCCCGGUGAACGGCGGCCGUAACUAUAACGGUCCUAAGGUAGCGAAAUUCCUUGUCGGGUAAGUUCCGACCCGCACGAAAGGCGUAACGAUCUGGGCGCUGUCUCGGAGAGAGGCUCGGCGAAAUAGAAUUGUCUGUGAAGAUGCGGACUACGUGCACCCGGACAGAAAGACCCUAUGAAGCUUUACUGUAGCUUGGUAUUGUGCUCGGGCUUGCUGUGCGCAGGAUAGGUGGGAGGCUUUGAUCCAUUGCUUGCGGGUGAUGGUGAGCCACUGGUGAGAUACCACUCUUUCCGAGCUAGAGUUCUAACAGCAACCCGUUAUCCGGGUGCUGGACAGUAUCAGGUGGGCAGUUUGACUGGGGCGGUCGCCUCCUAAAAGGUAACGGAGGCGCGCAAAGGUCUGCUCAGGCUGGUUGGAAAUCAGCCGACGAGUGUAAAAGCAGAAGCAGGCUUGACUGUGAGACCUACAAGUCGAACAGGGAGGAAACUCGGCUUUAGUGAUCCGACGGUUCUGCGUGGAAGGGCCGUCGCUCAACGGAUAAAAGUUACUCUAAGGAUAACAGGCUGAUCUCCCCCAAGAGUUCACAUCGACGGGGAGGUUUGGCACCUCGAUGUCGGCUCAUCGCAACCUGGGGCUGAAGUCGGUCCCAAGGGUUGGGCUGUUCGCCCAUUAAAGCGGUACGCGAGCUGGGUUCAGAACGUCGUGAGACAGUUCGGUCCAUAUCCGGUGCACGCGCAGGAAUAUUGAGAGGAUUUCUCCCUAGUACGAGAGGACCGGGAGGAACGCACCUCUGGUGUGCCAGUUAUCGUGCCAACGGUAAACGCUGGGUAGCCAUGUGCGGAGUGGAUAACCGCUGAAAGCAUCUAAGUGGGAAGCCCACCUCGAGAUGAGUAUUCCCAUGGCAUAAGCCAGUAAGGUCACGGGAAGAACACCCGUUGAUAGGCUCUACGUGGAAGCGCAGUAAUGUGUGAAGCGGAGGAGUACUAAUAGACCGAGGGCUUGACC
Molecule: ribosomal RNA, 1350 nt
Filed under: metagenome
Description: bacterial LSU rRNA
Rfam family: Bacterial large subunit ribosomal RNA
Source: RNAcentral